This 19017-nucleotide long non-coding RNA is filed under the name Capsicum annuum. Its description in RNAcentral is "long non-coding RNA (CANN_LNC014571)". The record is from RNAcentral. Lineage: Eukaryota; Viridiplantae; Streptophyta; Magnoliopsida; Solanales; Solanaceae.
UGAAACUGACCCAAUGAACCAACACCCAAACCAACCCAAUUACAUACCAACUUCCCCAACCCAAAUGCUUUUUAUAUCCUCUUCUUUAUUAACAACAAAAUAACCGACAAAACACAACACACACUAAACAAACGCAACAAUAAUGGCAAAACCCAUUAGUUGAUCCAACCCGAUACAAAACCCGAUCCUCACUGUCAAACCCCAACGUCGUCGUUGAUGCGAAGGGGUGUGAGUGGCAAAAGAAGAAUGUUGCAAGAACCUUCUAGAAUUUGUCUAGGUGGAGCGAGCUGUGUGUUUCAAGGUACAGAUAGUACUAGUCCGUACCGAAUCCACCUCAUAAUCCUAUCCUUCUUUCAAAAUUAAAAUUGUUUCUAUUAAAAUUGCAGAAAUUACCCCCAAAAUUCCCUUAUCCCAUAUCGGUAUUAGCUGAAAUUUUUCCCAAUCUUGUUCUCUCUAUAUAUGAUUCAUUAUAGAGCAAAAAGACCAAGUCUCAAGAGGGUGAAAACUAUUUUGAGCAAAAAUCAGUUAAUUUUCCAUUUUUUAGUAUAAUUUUUUUCUUCUUUCUAAGAACGGUCGAGGACUGCUCAGAGUUUUCGGAGUCGCGGGAAAGUCCUCUGGUGGUAAUAGAGAUACCAUCGAAGGACCGAGUUCUGUUUUGCUGCUCUGAAAUAGUUAACAUUCCAUUUAGUUUGGUUUUACUUCUCCUUCAUAUCGUGUUUCUAUCAUUCUAUCGUCGUAGUUGUAUUUUAAUAGUCUUGAGUGCUGGGAUAUUCACUGUUAGAGGAUUUGAAAGUCAUAGGUUGUGGUGGAUGUUCAUUUUUUUUUUUUUGUACAUUUUGUGACAUAGUCGAAGUGACUUUAGUUAACUUUACUUUUCAGUGACAUGGCCUGUUGGAUAUUUAGGGUCAAUUUGAACACAGGUUUAAAGCUAGAAUCGGAAAAAAUAUUCAAAAUUGAAGUCUGGCUGCCAAGUUGGCUACUUUUCUUUAUUUUGAUGGUUAAAUUUGAUUUUGAGCUAUUUAUUUGCCUGCAUCAACCAAUGGAGAAGAAAGCUUUAUUUUUCGUUAAUGUAUGGCUUGUCAGAAUGUUUGGCUGAUUUUCUCACUCAUCGCUAGAUUGUUGUUUUAAUCUCCAUUGAAAUCUCCUGUAAUAAUGUUUUCUUUCCUCUACAUCACGACUUCAUAUUUUAUAAAAAAAUAUUUUGCUGGGUAUCGAAAUAACAGUGUUUUCAUAUAACUGAAAGUUAAUUGCUCAUUUUCUGUUCUCGUAUUGUUUUUUUAGAAGCAUUAUAUAAGUUGGCAGCUUUAUUCUGUCAUUGAGUAACGAAAGUUUCAAUUCAAGCUUUGUCUAAAUGUUUCCAUGUUUAUCUAAGCGAUUACGUGCUAGCAAAUAGUUGUGUCUAUUUAUCUGAUUCAUAGUGUUAAUUAAAGAUAAGCAUUGGAUCGUUACAUGUUCUUCUCUUCAAACUUAGAAAAAAAUUAGUUUUUUUUCUUCUUCUUGAUUACAUGCAAGUUUUUGAAUUCUCUUGAUAGUUUUUUUUUUAAAUAAUAAUGGUAGUAAGGACCAAUUUGUAAUAUGUGUUCCAGGUCCUUAGUUAUCUUUAGAAAAACUUUGGUGGAAUUUUUCUUAAUUUAGUUCUAUCACUUUGUUAGACCUUUGUUGUUAGAAUUUUUUCUUUAUUUGGUUGAGGAAUUGUUCAAAUUCAUUUCUUCACUUAUAAUUUUCUUUCCAGUAUUCUUUCUUCUGUGAUCUAGUUUUUCUCUUCCUUCUAUAUUUUUAUUAUUUGUUGCCCUAUUUAUUUAUCUUGUCAAUCUCUUCUUGCCAUGUCUCUUCAUUGCCAUAGUUUGGAUGUUUGAAUUACCUCUAACAUUGCCUUAGUUGGAACUUGACAAUUCCCUUUAUUAAAGUUAGCUUCCACCUUCUUCCUUGUAACAUGAAUUAAUGUUUAUGUUAUGUUAAAAAACGUAUUUUGCUUUUUGUAUUGCCUUUUUUUACUCUCUAAAUCUUGGGUUAUUUUUUCUUGCAUUAAUUCGGUGACUAUGGUCUUUUUUCUUUCGUUUAUCUUUGGCUCGAGUACAAAGCAUAAGGCAUGGGAAUGAGUGUCUUUGUUUUGCAUCUCAUUUGUUGACUCUUAUUUUAUCAUAUGUGUAUAAGUGUGCUCAUUCAAAAAAUUAGCUCUUGAAAUUUUCUUUUAUUUGGAAAUAUAUCACGUGGUGUCUUCAAUAGAUGUUAAUUUCUUCAUUCGUUUUUUUGCAAAAACCCGUUUGGGAGUUCGAAUGGACUUUUUUCCUUGUAUUUUCUAAUGGGCUGAUGAGGCCCAUUUAGUUCCAAGUCAAUUCCAAAAAAAUUCCAAAGGCGAUCGCAUGACACAAAUAAGAGGAAGUGAAAGAGGAAAAUGGGUUGAAACCCAUUGAUGAAAUCACUUUAUUUUCGCCAUUGGUGUAUUUUAUUUACUUAUUUAUUUAUUUAUUUAUUCAUUUAAGUUAUUCAUUUAGGCAUCGAAGCCAAAGUUGUAAAUUAAUACAAGUGAAACAGGUUUUGGGCCAAAGAGUCCCAAAAAAAUAGUUUAGGACAGGUUAUGGGCCAAAGUUCAAUAUUUAGAUUAGGAUAGGUAAAGAUGGGUUGAAAGCCCAAUUAGACUAGGACAAGGUUGAUGGAUUUGAGCUUAAGAGCCUAAAUCGCUUAUUUCUCCCCUUUUUCCAUUCUAUAUGUUUAUUUGCUAUAUGUUCCUUCAAACCUAGUUAGACCCCCUACCAUGUCGUUAAAAAACUGACUUUGCAUAAACCUCAAAAAAUAUUUUCCUAAUCAAUUCUCUUUUCAAUAGUUAAUUUUUCUUUUCUAAAGUUAGUCAAAAGAAUUAUUUUCAAAUAGUCCAGAUAACCGCAAGUUAGCGAAUAUUUUAGGUAUCUUAAACACCUUCCUAAAAUAUUAAUAAGAAUCUCUUACCCAGGAUCUUUUAAAGGCUUAAGUCUUUUUCUGUUUGAGACUUAGGAUUUUAUUUCAAAAAGUUUUCUUAAUUUCUUUUCAAAUAAAUUAAGUGGUGACUCUGUAACUUCUUAGAUUGUUUCAAAAUUUUUAUUAAAAGUUUUUGGAAUAGUUUAAAAGGUUAAGUCAAUAUUUUUCAACCCUUUAAAAACUGAAAAGGGGCAAAAUAGAAAUGAUGACUCUGCUGGGGUGAAAUUUAACUAGGUCUAACCAAAUGUUUGAAUUUAUCUUUUGACUAAUUGUUUAAACUGUUUACGUUCUUAAAUGUUUCAAUUCUGUGAAAUUAACUAUUGCAUCUCAUGGCAUAAUCACGCAUGAUUAUUAAACUAUUUUGGGGUGUCAUGAAUGUCUCGGCCCUUGUUGAUCAACGCUAAAUCAAGUGUUGGGAAUACGACGGUUUAUUUGCACAUUAGGCGGUCGAAGGCCUUUUGUAUUUCCAAAUUCAAGUAGUCCUCUUGGAAACCUAUGUCCAAACCACUCUAGAAAUCCAGGAUAGAGCUAAAUCAAAAUCCUCUUUUAGGCAUGAGCCUAGGACGACCCAAUACCCGAGGGGGUAUUGGGCCCAGUACAAAAACUUGCCCUGCAUUUAUUGACCCUGAGUCAAUUACAGAAGAACCAUGUUUAUGUGCCGAAGAAAUAUAUGUUUGUUUAAACCAAUCUAUUAUCCUUUGGGGUAGGGGGAAGGCUUAUCACGAUUUGCUUUCAUGUAGGAAUGGUCCAACCAUACCCUUGCAAAAAAGUUCAAGAUGGUUACUGGACCUAAUAACUUCCUGAAAGUAUGGUGGACGUAUAUGAGUGGAGAAUAUAAAAGAUUGUUGGUAUACAUAGCGGGCACCUGUCUUUGCUCAUAAAGAUGGAUGCCUGGCCCAAAAUGAUUCAUGUUCUAACGAUAAUUUGGGAUGACAUCAACAUGGUGUUUCUGUUCGGGGAAGUAGAGUUGACACCCACUAUUAAAGAAGUUUUGACUUGUUAUGAAAGCCUUGAUAUGUGCAGAAAGAGAAGGAGUACACCAGACAACAAUGUUCUAGUCCCUAGGAUGAUGAAUCGUCAAGAGAUCAAGAAAGUCUUUGAAAUCAAUAAUGACACUUGGUUGGGAGAAUCUAAUGGGGAAAAUAUAUAUUUUUAUGAAUUUUAUCGCCGAUUUAGAAAGUAUAACGCUUUUGAGAAAUUCGGUCAUAAAUUUGAGUUAGAAAAAAAUGGAAGGAGAAGAGAGCAUUUGCUUUUAUUGUGGGUUUGUUUGGAAUAAUGGUGUUCCUAGAAGGAGAAAAUGGCACCAUCCAUCCGAGGGUCGUUAUGGUAACGGAAACUCUCUUUAACGGAAUAGAUUAUGGUCAAACUAAGGUGUUCCAUACCUUAGACCCUAUGAUAGUUGCUGAGAUAUAUUGGGCAUUGGGAAUGUGCCAAAGCGGUGAUCAUUUCUUUUAAGGUUGCAACCUUAUCUUGCAAUGGUGGAUGAUGACUCACUUAUUGAAAAACCCUAGAGUGGGACAGCUGGACCCUCAGACAAAGGUAAAUCUCCAAUCAUCACAAGACAUAUGUUUAUUCCUGCACAGGUUUAAGAGAAAAGAGUCUUCGGAAUUUUGGUUCAAGAUUUUUGGGGAAUUAAGUGUUGACGACAUUCAGUGGUCAAUUAGCUAUCUUUUCCCAGGAAAGUACAUUACUUGAGGGUUUCCUAGUACUUCUAGGACUCAGGGGGAAAUCAUCCUUAUAAUCCCAUUUGGGUUCUCAGGCAAUUUGAAAUCAGGCAGGUAAUACAACAAAUGACGUCUAUGCUUAGAUUCUUUACUGAGUAUAAUGAAUACAAAACUCCCCUAAAAAAUACAUGGUAGAUGGGUGGAAGAGAAGAAAAACAAAGGAAGUCUCCUUCCGUAUCAGGUAUGAAUCCAAAGUUAGUGACACAUACAAGGAAUGGUUGAAGAAGAGUCUUGCUGGAGCAUUGAUUUCGGGACUAAUUGUACCCACUCAGAUUGUUGAUAUGGAAUCAGAGCAUCAGAUCCGACUCCACAGGCUUCAAGAUGAAUUCCAAAAAAAAAUAAAAUUGCACCAACAUAUGCAUAUGGAGGAUGCCACGAUCAUACACCUGAUGAGAGAAGAGAUAAAGCGGGCCAUGCAAGAAGCUGAUGAUACUAGGCAGUGUCUGAUCGAUUUGGAUGAUUGCAUAGUUUCUCUGAUUGGUAACAUAGAAAGAAUGACCUACAAGAACAAGGGGAAGUUGUGCGGGAGUCACCUAAUCAUCAAUAGAUAUCACAUAUGGCAAGAGGUGAAUAAGGCUAAAAAGGCAAGGGAUAAUGAAGGAGCAUCUAAGAGCUAGUCUUUCUGUCCCCUGCGCGAGACUAUGUUCUUUCUUUUAUGUUAUUUUCCUUUUCCCUAAAGAUUGUAUCCCUCUUAUGCUACUUUUGUAGGCAUCUAUGUCCUUUUAUAUAUAUAUGAAAAGUUGGGGGAUAAUGGAUUGGCUUUAAAAAGGCAUAUAUUUGCUUCAAAAUUCGUUAGGCCAUCCCUUGGCUCAAAAGGGUCACCCCAACUAGGAUAUGUAUUUAUUAUAAUUUUUUAUGUGGUAUAACUGCCUUAUGUGUUUAUGUGUGUUGGUUUGAAUCAAAGACAAAUUUGUCCAUGAUGCUCCCGUGGAUCAGUUUGCUUAUGAUGCAAACAACUCUGUGUGGUUACUUCUUGUCGAAUAUCUUGCAUUAUUAUCAUAUAUGGGAACUAAAUCAUUUGCCUUUGAGUUAUUUUACUUUACAGGUAUUAAAACUACUCUAUGUUGAAACAAGCUAGCAGAACAUUCUUACUUCACCCGGUCAAAAUUUCAAAAAAUCCCAUCCCCUAACCAUCAUUCAAAUAUGACUGGAAGCGAUGAAUAUAAUGCAUUGACCAUCAGGGACAAUGUGAAAGCCAAACAAAGUGAGAUGAUUGCUGAACUUAAGAGAAAAUUAGAAAUUCUUUAAGAGGAAAUGGACCAUACUAGAGAUUUGACUAAUGUGGCCAUCACCGUCAACGCUCCUUCCCCAGGAGGACAUGGGCCUCCACUCCGAAUUUCUUCCCUAAGUAUGUCUAUUCUUGGGAACCAUCCAAAUAACAUAUCGUCCGUCUCCGUUUCCUAAUUGCCCACAUAUCCUAUAAUCAAUAAUCCUCCAAUUUAUCUGUCUAAAAUACCUAUCAAGAAAAUAACCCUGAUGCCCACAAUCCAUAAAAUCCUUCCCUAAUCCUAAAAAAUCCAUCUCCAAAUCCACAAAAUUCAUCCCACAUCCCCAAGACCCUUUUUCAAACUCAUAAAAUCUGCUUCCAAAUCCGUAAAAUCCAUAUCCAAAUCCACAAAACUCGUUUUCAAAUAUGCAAAACCCCUCUUAGAUUCCACCAAACUACUCUUAAAUUCCUUAAAAUAUCCUCAAUUUUCAAAACGUCCUCCCCACCUACCACCUAAACUUUUCUCAUCCUCAAAAUCAAGCUAACCUUUCAAAUACUUCUCAUGUCAUCAUAUCCCCUGGUAUCUACAAUCCCUUACCCAACCCCAGGGUAGACCAUUAUGAGAAGAAGAAAAAAAAGUGGUGGACUGAGUAUGAAAAGAAGUUGCGGGCCAUGAAUAAAGAGAUAAUGAGGAUCAAGAUAUCUAAUGGGGUAGAUGAUAAUUAUGAUUUGGGGUAUAAUGAUUUGUGUGUGCACCCUGGAGUAGAUCUACUAGAAGGAUACAACGUCCCUAAAUUUGAAGUGUUCAACAGUAUCGGAAAUUUGAUGGCCCAUCUAAGAAGGUAUUGUGAUCAAAUGGUUGGGGUAGAAAGAAAUGAAGCAUUAUUGAUGUGCUUAUUCAACCUCAGCAUAAAAGGCGAAGCCUUAGAUUGGUUCAUGUCUCAAGAACUGAAAAGAUGGUCUAGUUGGAGGGCACUUGCUAAAGUCUUUCUCGAUAGAUUUGUGUUUAACAUUGAAAUAGUCCCUGAUCAAUACUCAUUAGACCGAAUAAAGCAGUAGAAUGAUGAGUGUUUCUGAGACUAUGCCUUCUGUUGGAGAACAAAAGCUGCUAGGGUACAACCUCCCAUGUCUGAGGAGGAAAUGGUAUCGAUUUUCUCUCACACUCAGGAGGGAGAAUUUUACACUAGGAUGGUAUCUGCUGUUAGGGCGACUUUCAUAUAUUUGGUAAAAAUUAGGGAACCGCUGGAAGAAGGAAUUCAAAUAGGAAAGACUAUUAAAACCCCAACAUCAUUUGGUACUUCUAUGUUCUCAAAGAAGAAAAAGAAAAACGUGAGUGCACUCUCUACCGAUUCUAUUUCCAAAUUGAAGAAUAAAUUUAAGCCUAGGAACGUUUUCUCCUCUCCACCGUCACCAAAUUUUCAGCAUGUAUUCUACACCCAACCCCAGUACUAAGCUCUACUUCCAAAUAUCCAAUCCCAAUACCAAGCUCCACUUUCAAAUAUCUAAUCCCAAUACCAAGCUCCACUUCCAAAUAUCCAUCCCAAUACCAAGCUCUACUUUGAAAUAUCUUAUCCCAAUGCCAAGCUCCACAACUAAAUAUUUUACUCCAAUACUAAACUCUGCAGCUAAAUUAUCAGUCUCAUGGUCAUGCUACCUUUCCAAACAACCGAAUGAAUGUCUAAGAACCUCCAAAUUGUCAUCAAGUGCCUCCUCCCACUAAUCAAAACCACUAUACCCCCCUCCCAUCCAAAUAUUAAAAGAAGACCUUUACAAAACUUUACGUCAUUGGCUGAAAGCUGCACCCAACUCUUUAGAAGAUUGAAGGACGUCGUUCAUUUACAACCUAUUCAAGUGAAAAUUAUCAAUCCCAAUUCCCAAUUUUAUCAUGUCGAUCAAAUUAUAACUAUCACUCGGGAGCGGCGGGACACAGUACCGAGGAUUGAGUUAGCCUAAAGUAUAAGAUUCAAGACUUGAUUGAUCAGAAGGUUAUCACGCUUCAGUCGCUGACACCAAAUGUCAACAGUAAUCUAUUUGCCAAUCAUGGGGGAGCUACAGUUAACAUGAUCAAAAUAAAGGGCAAAUGGGUGUCUGUCAAGACCAUCACUAAGAUGGAUUCAGAAAAUUCCAAAAGGAUAGAAGGAGUGGAGAAAAUAGAAAGAGCCACAGCUUCCUUAAGUGUCAAUGAGAGGACACCAUUUUUAGUGAUGAAAGCCCCGACUCAGGUAUAUACUCCACCACCUAAAAAGUAAUUUAUUGUAGAAAUUGCCGCCGCCCAAGGGAUGACAUAGUCUGGAUAAUGCUGCAUUCCUGAUGAUUUGACGAAUAUAAAGGAUUGAUAGAAAAGACCAAUCACUAAAGGGAAGGAUAAGGAAUUUUAGAGGUGUAUGCAACCAAAAGAGUAUUUAAUUGUCAAGCAUUUAGAAAAGACUCCAGCCCAUAUUUCUAUUUGGGCAUUGUUAAUGAGUUCACAAUACCACCGACAAUCUUUAUUGAAGGUUCUGGAUGAAGCACAUGUUCCCAGAGGCAAGAUCAUUGAGAAUCUGUCCGCAAUGAUAGGGAAUGUUGUAGGAUAUCAUCACAUAUCGUUUAGUGAAGAAGAGCUGCCGUUUAAGGGGGUGACACAUAACAAAGCCCUGUACGUCACUGUCAGUUGUUGGGACUAUUUGAUUAAUCGAUUAUUGAUAGAUGACAGAUCUGGUUUUAAAAUUUAUACUCUUUCCACAUUGGUUCAAAUAGUCUAUGAUUUGGGAAAAAUUUGCCAAAGCUAUGUAAAUAUGCGGGCAUAUGAUAGGGGGUAGAGAGAUACCAUAUGUGAAGUUGACUUGUACAUCUAGAUGGAAUCUGCUGAAUUCAAGGCUAAAUUUCAUAUUAUGAAUAUCCAUCAUAGUUACAACCUGCUCCUGGGGAGACCAUGGAUCUAUAGUAUAAAGGUAAUUUUAUCAACCCUUUAUCUAUUAUUGAAGUUUAUUUGGGAGGACCAUAAAAUAGUCAUUCAAGGAAAAGGAAGCCAUUUCAAUCAUCCCAAUGGUUAUGUGCCUGUGAUUGAAGAUAUUCCAAGAGGUAGAAGUUUUUAUAUCGUGGAAAUUAUAAGUUCUGUGGAGAAAGAUCUGGCGCCUAAAGAUCCAAUGCCUUCUGUCUACAAAAUGAUUAUGAUCGUGAUGUUAAGAAGUGGGUUCGAGCCCGAUCGGGGCUUGGGUAAGAUUUGGAAGGAAUUAUUAAGCCUAUUAUGGUCCCAGAAAAAACAUCUAAAUAUAGGUUAGGAUACCAGCCAAAAGAAGAGGAUGAGAUUGAAGAUAAGUCAAAGAUAAGUCUGUCUAAACUAUUGUCGCUCCUGCACCAGUUAUUUAUCAUAUGUGAGAUAUCAAAAGAUGAUGGUCUCGAGGAUGGGAUAGGAAAUUUGUUCGAGGGAUGUAAUGCUAUACUAUAAGAUUUUUUGAAAUCCAGUGGGUUGCGGAAGGUUGCACAAGGAGAGGAUUUGCAAAAUCGGACCUCCAUUCCACUCAUAACUCAUCGCCCAUCAUGAUAGAUGAAAGGAAAAUUACUAGUAGUUUUAAAAAUCGGUGAUGAUCUGGAGGAGUCCCCAUGAUCCACCCUUUCAUUUCUCAAAUUUUCUUUUCAUGUUUUACUUUUUUUAAAAAGUCAUAGGCUCGCAUUUGUGUGGGUCAUGAGCCAUAGUUUGUAAUUAUUUCCUAAAUUUCAAUGAAAAGACCUCUCUUUAUUUAAGAAGUUAUUUUGAAAUAUGAUUAUAGUAGUGUAUUUUAUUAUCUUGUUAUCAUCUAGGCUUGUUUGUUUAUUAUAGUAGCAGUAAUUUAAAACUUGCCAAUGUCAUGUCAUGUCAAGAGUUAGACGAACAAAGUGAGGGAAUGAUGAUGAUUGGAAAAAAGUGAUGAUGAGCUGUUAGUUAAAGAUAUAGAGGAAUUGAAAACCGAGAGAAGCCCUACCUGGGGGAAACUGAAAUAGUCAACUUGGAUGAUCAUGAUGAAAUCAAAGAGACAAGUACCAGUGUUCACUUAGAAGAAGCACAAAAAAGAGAACUCAUUCACUUGCUACAAGGAAUACAUUGAUAUAUUUACUUAGUCCUACAAUGAUAUGCUAGGGUUAAGCACCAAUAUUGUGUCACGUAAGCAACCAAUUAAUCUCGAGUUUGAUCCAAUAAAUCAGAAAAUAUAGAAAUUUAAGCCAGACUUACGUUUGUAGAUCAGGGAAGAAGUGACAAGGCAAAUUCAAUCAAAGGUUGUGGAAUUCAUAAGAUAUCCAACAUGGCUAGCCAAUACUGUUCUAGUUCUAAAAAGUUCACGCCGUACGAGGGUCGCUACAUGCUUGUAGAAAGGACGUGUUGUGCUUUGAUCUGGCCUGCCCAAAAGUUGAGGCAUUAUCAAUCCUCGUACACAACAUAUCUAAUUUCUAGAAUGGAUCCACUGAAGUAUAUAUUUUAGAAAGCCAUGCCUACAGGAAAGUUAGCCAAGUGGCAAAUGUUGCUGAGUGAGUUCUACAUUGUGUAUGUGACUCAAAAAGAAAUCAAAGGGCAAGCCUUAGAAUAACAUUUAGCAGAGAAUUGGUUGAUGAUGAAUACGAGCAACUUCAAACAUGAGAAGAUUUUAUUCGCUGGAGAAAACAUUGUAAAGAUAUAUCUCGGAUGGAGAUUGUUCUUUGAUGGAAUGGUCAACUUCAAAGGCUCAGGAAUUAGAGCGGUUUUGGUGUCAAAAAUGGGCCAACACUAUCCGAAAUUGCUAAAUUACGCUUCCUGUGUACUAAUAACAUCGCUGAAUAUGAAGCUUGCAUCCUAGGUCUCAAGUUGGCACUUGAUAUGAGUGUUCAUGAAUUACUAGUCAUCAGAGACUCAUAGUUGUUGAUUCACCCGGGGGGAAUGGGCAGUAAAGAACUCCAAGAUUACCCCUUAUGUAGAAAUGGUGCAGGAUUUGUGUGGGAGAUUCAAUAAAGUUGAUUUCAGACAUAUCCCAAGCAUACAAAAUGAGUUUUCUGAUGCUUUGGCUACUAUAUACUCCAUGAUUCAGCACCUAGAUGAACGUUACAUUGAUCUUUUAGAAAUAAGCUUGAAGGAACAACUUGCACAUUAUGUAUACGUUGAAGAGGAGCUUGACGGAAAGCCAUGGUACUAUGAUAUCAAAAGGUAUUUAAAUUUCCAGCUGCCUACUAAUACUUUAAAUAUUGAUAAUAACAUUGAGGAAAUAUGUAAAGUGAAUAAUAAGCAAAUCAGAUCUGAGGAUAAGUUCACAUAUUUCAAAUAGAUAGAUGGUAUUAUUUUUUGGUGAAAAAGGAAAUACUGUGGGUUGUGUUCCCUUCGACAUAGAAUACGAAGGGCAUAUUGAGUUUUACUGUGAAGGCAUAGUGGACACCGGUCCUUCAUCGACUAAGUCCCACAGAGGGGGACAAUGUACUGAGUCUCGACAGAGAUAUGCUGGUCAUAGGCAUUAUAGAGGCUAUGAGAUAGAUGUAUCCAAGAUCACAGAAAGAAAGAUCCACAGUCGAGCAGUGAGCACAGAUACCAUCCUAGCCUUUUCAUGCUUGUGGAUGCAGAUUUGUCUGGAGGAGUCUAUACCUAAGAUUUUGGGUGUCGAUCACUUUUUAACGGUCCAAUAGACCACAUAUUUGGGGAAUUAGGGAUUUUACAAACCAAAUCUAGUAGUACAAGGUGGGUGGUACACUACUUCAGGCAAAUUUUUAGGUGAGUGGGCAGAUAUAUAUUGACACUCUAGGUUUCGCCAAUCUUGGUGACACCACCACAGAGAUUGCCUACUCUGAGCUUCAAACUUUCAUUAACGUUGUUGGUUCUUCAUAGGCCUUGUUUUUUCCUUUUACUACAAGACCAUUUAAUUGUAGGCCACUUUUAAGUGGCUAUGCAUUAGUUUCGCAUAAGUUCCUGGCCACUAUGAUUAAAAGAUUAGGCACCUUUGAGCGACGAGUUACAAAUAUUGAGCAGAGGGUGAUGCCUUGGGUAAAGAAUAAGAUCAUGACUGAGAUUUAGGGAAUGUAGACUUGAUUUGAUAGAUUUAAGUGGCGGGUCAGCCAAAAGUUGGUGGGUGUUCAGGCUCCAGAUCUGGCAGGGUUGUAUGAGAAAUUGGUUGCACUUUAGGCUGCUAUAGAGGACAUAUAUGUGAGGCCAUUACCUACUUACCCUAUUAUCAAGGAGAUCUUUGUUGAGGAUGUUCCAAAUAUUUAUUUCAGAAUGGGAAAAAAAGACUCCUAAAGAAAAAAGUGGAAAGAGGAAGAGAAGAAAGAAGAAAGUUAAUUUCCAGGCAGCAAAGGUAGCCAUCCUGUAGAUAGCAUAGUACCGUCAGACUAGAGUCUAUGAGAUAGGGGUAGGAGAUGGUAGCUCUCGAGUGGUUAACAUGACAACUACAAUAAAAUUGAGUGAGGGAACCUUUCUACCUCCUAAAAGCCAGACUACUUUGAGCACACCAACCACAGUUGGUACCAUUGAUGAUAUGAGUAUCCUGACCACUGUUGGGACCACGAUUAAUGAGAGUAGGGCCCAUUUUAGGGUCUCACUAGCUGAGUCAUAAUCUGGUGCCUAGUGUGCCCAGGUAUGUCUUUAUUCUUUGUUUUUACUUUAUAUAUGUGCACUGGGGAUAGUGCAUAACUUUUAAGUUAGGGGUGGCGAUAUACCACAGCUGAGGAUUUUUCUUUCCAUGUUUUUUCCCAUCAGCUGCGUUAUCAUAAUAGAACUGACAUAUUCAGGUCGUAUCCUAUUUUGUUUCAUGUUGUUUUUAUUUGUUUGUGUUUAACUAAGAGAAAAAUGAAUAACCUAAGGGUAGUUGAUGCAUUUUAUUUGUGUUCAAGUUUUUUGAGAAAAAUAAUACCCCUCUAAAAAGUUUGUUUUGAACUAUGUGAUGUGUUUAUACGUGUGACCAUUGUGAAUCUUGUUAUGGAAUUAGGAAUUAGGGAUAAAACAAUAAUCGCUAGCAUUUCCAUAAACUGGAUAGUUAAUAGAUGGUAAUUUAACCCUUUACUCUGUGUGUGUGAUAUGCUUUCCUAGUUACCUUUUAGCAUUUAAUCUAGAACUUUCCUGGUUAGUGUUGCCUAGGUUGAAGGAUAAUUGUUUAGGAAUAGAUCAUAGUCCAUUUUUUAUGUAGUCCACUCUUAGACUAAAUGACCAUCCAAGUGUGAAAAGGUAUCCCUUUAUCCUUGUUUUAACCCUACAUAGACCUAUUUUCUUGUUUUCACAUUUCACCUUCGCAGUUUAAUUAUAAUGAACCUGUUUUUAACCCAGUCCCUCCUUGGACAUUAUGUACCUCAACUUAGGAAAAUUGACUAAGUUGGGGGUGGCUAUCAUAGGGGUGUAUUGUUACAAAUUAGAUUUGAAGAAUGGUUUGAAUAAGAGAAAAGAAAGUAAGGUUGGGUGUGGUAAAAAGAGAAAAAACAAAAAAGAAAGAAGAAGUGAAAAAAGGAGAAAGAAUAAAAUAAACUACACCCAACUCAAAUAAGCAAUAAAAAAGAAAUAAGGGAGACACAAAUGAAAAGAAUUAUGGUUGAGAAGUGGACCCCAAAUGUAAUUGUAGUGUCAAAGAGAGUUAGUGACUAAUUCCCAAAUGUACUAUAUCAUACCCCAAGCCUAUAUUACAAGCUGAUUAAGGUCCUAUAGUGAUCAUAGUCCUAUUGUUUGAAAACUAAGGUAAAGAGAAUAAGGGCGAGCCUAUGGUAUUCUAUGCACAUCGAUUGGAACUUUUUUUGUGAGUGUGAGUGUCUUGAUAAUGUCCCCACAUUGACUUGCAUGAUUAUAUUAUAAAAGUGGGACUUCAUUGUUGUAACGGUACAUGGGCUAUGUUGCUAGCUAUUUAUUAAUUCAGAUAGUGCAAUUUAUAUAUACGCUUGAUUGUUUGUUGAUAAUGUAAUGCCACAGAUUGAUUUCUUUGUGUUGCACUGUUGGGUUGCAUAGAUCCACAUAGGUGGUUUUGAAAAGUUAAAAAUAGAAGAAGGUGAAAAUUUUUAGUUGAAAAUGAGUUGUCUGUCCUAUGUACCUUAGGUUUCUCUUUGUUAAGCAUUGUGUUGUGUUUAUGUUAAGUGUUUGUUUCCUGAAGACACACAAAUGUUCAAAGUUGAGGGUGCUGGUGUGUCAUUAUUUCAUGGCAUUAUCGAUGUAUAAAACUUUGAAAAUAUUCAAGUACUUAGGUUAUUUUGUUAGAUAUAAUGUGAGUUUGUGUGUAAGUUACAAAAGAAUAUGGUUGGAAGUAAAGUGGAAUAAAAUGAGAAGGAAAAGCUCCAAAAAGUGAAGUCACUACCUGGACUAUGAGUUGUUAGGUGACUAUACUACUCAUAGCCCAAGUCGUCAGGAGAACAGUAGAUGAAAGUGAGAUGAGGAGCAAAGUAAAUAAUAGGUAUAACUCAUAGGAUCUUACUACUAGUCGGAUAGAGGAUUGUUCUAAGCACACUUUGUGGAAAGUCCUGAGUAUGAACAAAUUAGAGUCCAGUAGAGAUGAGGCUAGUAACGAGUUGUAAGGUUCGAUUAGGACUCAUUGUGGAAACUAUUUCGAGCAUCUGGAGUUAGGAUACUAAAUGUUGAAAACUUACUAGAGUGACAACGAGUCCAGCCAAAGACUCUAGGGACUCAUGAUGAGUUAUCUUCACUGAUAACUGCAGGAAUACAACAAAGUUGACAACGUGUCAUCGUCAGUCCGGACGACUCAUUGCUUGAAGCAUAGCCACUGCCGACCUUAUUUUCCUAUUUCAUUUUGGUUAGGUUUUCUAUGUUAUUUUGAGAAACUAUAAAUACUCCUUGAAUAUUUUUGUAAUAGCUUACACAGUUUUUAUAUUCAAAAACAUAUAUUGAUUCUAAGAUUCGACUUUUGAUCUUGGAAUCCUUCAUUCGUGAUUAUUUGGUUGAUUAUUAAUUAGAGACUUUGGGUUUACUUCCUUAAUUGUUGUGAGAUUAAUAUUAGAUAUUCUUUUAUGAAUUCCAUGUAUAUUCUUGGAAACAUGAAAGGCUAAACCACCUAACUAGGUUUGUGGGAACCUUGGCAGAAUAACUAGGUAGAAGAAGUGUGAGAUCCUUCUAGAUCAGUGUUUAUGCAUGUGUUGUGAUCUUUGAUUUGUAUGAUUUCUUAACUACUGUAGAAGUUAAGAAAUUUCCCGUAUUCGAGAUUAUCUUCACAAGCGAGGUUGAGAUUAGGAAAAGAGGAUCACAACAGUAAUUCGAUGUUACCAACCUUCAUCUAAUCAAUUUGACACCAAAAAGAAGAUAGUUGAACUGGGUUCCAAGACAAGGUUAGUAAGGUUACACUCUGACACUCACAAGGUGAAAAGUAAAAUUUACCAAGGAUGUUUACAAGAUGGUUGGUGAUACAUAGCUUGUCAAAUAUUACACGUAGGGCAUUGAGAUAGUUGGAUUGAGCAUGAUAAGUGUAUAGAGUUAGGAAGCCAGGGGGAAACACAGUCCUAACAUUCAUCUUAGAUUAAUUUCAACCAAAACGACCAAGACUUGUUACUACAUUAUUGUUUUCAUAGCAAAUCCCCCAUUCACUUUCAUACAUUUUUGGGCUUCUGUAGAAAAUUUGUGAGAGAUAUUUGGUCUAUUCCCUAUUGGUUUGACCCCAACCAUUAUUGGGUUACUAUAUUUGACAUGAACCGUAUUAUAUUUCUUUGGAGGUAUAUCUUGGGUGACAUCAAGUACUUAUAGUAUACAAGUGGGAGAUAAUUAACAUGGAUUUCAUUACUAGUUUACAUGUACUCACAACCAUCAUGACUCUAUUUUGGUUAUGUUAAUCGAAUGACCAAGUCAACGUACUCUUUGCCUGUCAGGUUGAUUUUCUUCUAAGGAUUAUACUAAGUUUUAUAUUGGGAGAUCAUCAGGUUGUAUGGUAUACUAUUGUCUAUCAUUUACGAUAGAGGUACCCAAUUUACCUCUCACUUUUAAAGAUGUUUUCAGAAAGGGCUGGAUACUCAGGUAAAUCUUAGUACUACUUUUCAUGCUUAGAUAGUUGGUCGAGUAAUGGGUACUAUUCAAAAAUUAAAGGGCAUAUUGAGGUCUUGUGUUAUUGACUUUAUGGGUUGUAAGGAUAAUUAUUUUCCUCUUAUUCAGUUCAGCUACAAUAACAAUUAUCACUAUAGCAUCCAGAUGAUAACUUUUGUGGCCUUGGAUGAGUAAAGGUGCUAGUCUUCUAUACAUUGGUAUAAGAUUGGUGAAGGAAUAUUUUUAGGUCGAUAACUUGUUCAUUAAGAAAUGAAAAAGAUUAAGUUCAUUAGAGAAAGGUUAAGACGACACAGAGUUACCAAAGGUCAUAUUACAAUGUGAGGUAGAGAGAGUUGGAAUUUGAUGUGAAUGUCUUAGUAUUCUUAAAAGUCUCUUCUAUGAAAGGUGUUAUACUACUUAUAAUUGCAAUGACACAUCAUGUAUUUAUAACACUGUUAGUAGUGUAAGAUUCCAGGUAGAAUUAUCUUAGAACGAGAGUUGUGAAAAUCAUAGGCUAGGGUGAGUUAAGAUAAAAUUUAACUGUUAUGCAGUGUAGAGACCUCUUACAUCUUGUGGUGGUUAUCUUAUUGGUUUUAUAGGCAUGAUAUGAUAGAUAAUAAGUUUUUUGAUAUAUAGAAACUUUCAGAACAAAAAUUAGAUUCAAAGACAUUUGAUUAUUGUGAUUGUCUUAAAGGAGUUAUUUUGUAAUGUAAAAAUCUAGGAAGUGUAUCGUGAAAUAGAUUAGACCUAGAAAAUAACUAGUUACCGCUACAAUGGAAGGAGGUUUUGCUGUAGUGAUCUUGCUUUAGCAAGCAUUGGGUCAUUGCAGUGGAGGUCCACAACUAAUAAUUCUACCAUAAAAGAUAGUUAUCACUAAAGAGACAUUUCUACAUCAACAAAAUGACUAUUGUAAUGACAUUGGGAUAGUUUUUACCCAUAAUCCAAGAGCGUUAUUUUCUCAAACUUUCAAAGUUUUACCUAGGGCUAAGAAAAAGGUAAUAUUUUUCAUUCUUAGGUGUUUCCUACUAUUAAGGUAAGUUCAUUUCAUCAUUCUUGUUGUUACUUCCUUUAAUCCUUAGAAUCCUUAGAGUAUGUUCAUGGUUGUAACAAUCAUAGAUGUAAAUUUUUCCUUUUUAUGUAUUUUGACUAUUUUUCCUUUUCUGUAAUUGUUAUAUGCUAUUUAUGAGUUGUGGGAUAAUUUGACAUAAUCCUCGAUGCAUUUGGAAGUGAUUUGGGUGAAUUUGAGACUUUUAGAGGCUUUUAAAAGUCAUGAGUUGAGAUUAGUCAACAUUCCAUUCUUCGAGCGUUGGAUGGUGAUUUGGAUAAUUCUAUUAAAUCAAAAUAUCAAUUUUGGGUUAGUAGCGUAGUUAGUUCGGGCGGGGCCUUUAUUUUGCAUUUUGAUCAUUUUGAUGGAAACUAAUUCAAAUAAAGGUGCACAACUGAUAUCUGGUGCAUAAAUCCUUCUUUGCAAAUUCAAAGCAAUUUGCCGCUAACAUGGAGAAGGAAAAUAUCUUUCAUCGUAGUUGCGAAGAGGUGGCUAUAAUUACAAAGGUUGUUGGGAAUUUAGGCUGGGUUUUGUCUUAUGGAAAUUGAGAACAUGAAGGCAAAUUUAAUGGCUUGUUAAUAUUGACCUUGGAAAUCGCAAAGUAGGGACAACGAUCAUGAGGUACUGUUCAUCUAAACAGUCUAAAGUUCUAUUUUUAUGAUUUUUCACCAUUUUUGACUUAGGAGCUUCGGGAAAGGUGAUUUAAAAAAUUCAUUUCAAAAUGGAUUUUUGGGUUUUUAUCUAAUUAACCUUAAAUUAAUUUUUCUUCAAUUUGAGCUCCAUUUUUAACUCAUUUUUGCAUGGGUUUUCAAAUAUAGACUCCUUUUGAUAUGUGGAACAUAUUUCUAAAUUAAAAUCUAAAUUUACCCUUUUGAUUUUGAACCUACUUUUUACUUUAUUUUGGAACCUAUUUAAAUAUGGAUAAUAUGAAUAUCAUUAGUUUUCAUUUGAUGUACAAAUUAUGUUUUUGGUUGUUUCAGUCUGUUCCUAGCCUGCUCAUGCAGGAAAGGCUCCACAUUGAAUGGUAUAGGCUUGGUUUUUCUCUCUUCGAGGUAGGUUAUGACUUAACUUUAUUUAGACUGAGUUAGGUAGUUAACAUUCGAGUAAAGCAUGCUAUGGGUUUGGGUGUUAUAUAUGGGGAUUGUAUUUCAAAGUAAUUAUUAAUACCAUGUUAUUCGUGUGGGGGUUUAUGUGUAAAUUGUUGUUAGUGAGAGAGAUUAUAAUUGUUUUGAUAGCCAUGUGGGGGAUUUAUUUUAUAUUUGUAGGCCUUAUUUAUGCAUUAAACUCCAUGAUUACUAUUGUAUUUCCUAUAUGAGGGCUUGAUUAGAUAUUAUAUUCCUAUUUAAGCAUUAUUUGCCGCAAUCAUGAUUGUGAUACACAAGUGAGGUGUUUUGAAAUGAUACUUUUGUUGUCUUACGUGACUAUCUAUUCUAGUGGUGCCGAGUGAGGGUUUAUAUCAUGAAGUAUUGACAUUUUGAGUUGAUUCAAGGCUUAUUGUUACCUGUAUUGAAUUGGUUAUCAGCUUUAUACUAAUUUGUUAUGAGCAUUACAUCCUCAUUUUAUGCAGACAUAUUCAUGAGACACUAGUACUACUGAAAAAAUAGAAAUAUUUGAAAGAAAUGAGAUGCUUUAUAAAACCCUUGGUUGUAAACAUUAGCCGACGAGGUUAAUUGAGAUUUGAGAAAGUAUACGAGUUGCAAUCCCCUAUGCAUCCAGUGUUAAAGUGUUGAGGCUUAGAAGGUGUAUAUAGAAAGUCAUGUGAUGGCUUACAUUCAUCAUUAUCACACUAUCAUUGCAUUGCUAUGCAUUACAUUACUUCAUUAUAUUUUCUUAUGUGUUUGCUCCCGUAUAUAUAGUUUCUCUAUUUAUAUUUUAUGUAUAGUUUACCCUUAUUGAAUUUAUAUUAUAGAACUAUUAGUGGAGACGGUGUGAGCUAUCAUUUGAGAACUUUUCUAUUUGCAGGAGGAAUAUGCUCAUAUAUCUUUUAUUUAUUUAGUUUUCUAUAUUGUUCAAUUGGUAUAUGGUACCUAUUGAGUACAAGUGGACCAUACUCACUUCUACUUUUGUUCCUUUUCAGUGCAAGAUCCCAGUAUGAGUGCACCCCGUGGUAGCUAAGCUUGUGUGGUGGGAGUUUGAUUUUGAGGUAAUGGUAGGAUCCAAUGUUUGGAGUAGAUUCCAG